UUAAAUUGAAGAGUUUGAUCAUGGCUCAGAUUGAACGCUGGCGGCAGGCCUAACACAUGCAAGUCGAACGGUAACAGGAAGCAGCUUGCUGCUUCGCUGACGAGUGGCGGACGGGUGAGUAAUGUCUGGGAAACUGCCUGAUGGAGGGGGAUAACUACUGGAAACGGUGGCUAAUACCGCAUAACGUCGCAAGACCAAAGAGGGGGACCUUCGGGCCUCUUGCCAUCAGAUGUGCCCAGAUGGGAUUAGCUUGUUGGUGAGGUAACGGCUCACCAAGGCGACGAUCCCUAGCUGGUCUGAGAGGAUGACCAGCCACACUGGAACUGAGACACGGUCCAGACUCCUACGGGAGGCAGCAGUGGGGAAUAUUGCACAAUGGGCGCAAGCCUGAUGCAGCCAUGCCGCGUGUAUGAAGAAGGCCUUCGGGUUGUAAAGUACUUUCAGCGGGGAGGAAGGUGUUGUGGUUAAUAACCGCAGCAAUUGACGUUACCCGCAGAAGAAGCACCGGCUAACUCCGUGCCAGCAGCCGCGGUAAUACGGAGGGUGCAAGCGUUAAUCGGAAUUACUGGGCGUAAAGCGCACGCAGGCGGUCUGUCAAGUCGGAU
RNAcentral lists this ribosomal RNA (605 nucleotides) under Salmonella enterica subsp. enterica serovar Hillingdon. RNAcentral describes it as "bacterial SSU rRNA". It matches the Rfam family "Bacterial small subunit ribosomal RNA", at positions 1 to 593 of the family's 1533-position model. The record is from RNAcentral. Lineage: Bacteria; Pseudomonadati; Pseudomonadota; Gammaproteobacteria; Enterobacterales; Enterobacteriaceae.